RNAcentral lists this ribosomal RNA (400 nucleotides) under uncultured bacterium. RNAcentral describes it as "bacterial SSU rRNA". It matches the Rfam family "Bacterial small subunit ribosomal RNA", at positions 355 to 772 of the family's 1533-position model. The record is from RNAcentral.
UGGGGAAUCUUGCACAAUGGGGGAAACCCUGAUGCAGCGACGCCGCGUGAGCGAUGAAGCCUUUCGGGGUGUAAAGCUCUUACGCCAGGGACGAUAGUGACGGUACCUGGAGAAGCAGCUGCGGCUAACUACGUGCCAGCAGCCGCGGUAAUACGUAGGCAGCAAGCGUUGUUCGGAAUUACUGGGCGUAAAGGGUGCGUAGGCGGUGCUCUAAGUUUGGUGUGAAAUCUCCCGGCUUAACUGGGAGGGUGCGCCGAAAACUGGAGUGCUUGAGUGUGGGAGAGGAAAGCGGAAUUCCUGGUGUAGCGGUGAAAUGCGUAGAGAUCAGGAGGAACACCUGCGGUGUAGACGGCUUUCUGGACCAUAACUGACGCUGAGGCACGAAAGCGUGGGUAGCAAA